GAUGAACGCUGGCGGCGUGCCUAAUACAUGCAAGUCGAGCGAACGGACGAGAAGCUUGCUUCUCGGAUGUUAUCGGCGGACGGGUGAUUAACACGUGGAUAACCUACUUAUAAGACUGGGAUAACUUCGGGAAACCGUAGCUAAUACCGGAUAAUAUUUUGAACCUCUUGGUUCAAAAGUGAAAGACGGUCUUGCUGUCACUUAUAGAUGGAUCCGCGCUGCAUUGGCUAGUUGGUAAGGUAAUGGCUUACCAAGGCAACGAUGCAUAGCCGACCUGAGAGGGUGAUCGGCCACACUGGAACUGAGACGCGGUCCAGACUACUACGGGAGGCAGCAGUAGGGAAUCUUACGCAAUGGGCGAAAGACUGAUGGAGCAACGCCGCGUGAGGGAUGAAGGUCUUCGGAUCGUAAAACUCUGUUAUUAGGGAAGAACAUAUGUGUAAGUAACUGUGCACAUCUUGACGGUACCUAAUCAGAAAGCCACGGCUAACUACGUG
RNAcentral lists this ribosomal RNA (497 nucleotides) under uncultured bacterium. RNAcentral describes it as "partial 16S ribosomal RNA". It matches the Rfam family "Bacterial small subunit ribosomal RNA", at positions 28 to 507 of the family's 1533-position model. The record is from RNAcentral.